Molecule: long non-coding RNA, 932 nt
Organism: Homo sapiens (human)
Lineage: Eukaryota; Metazoa; Chordata; Mammalia; Primates; Hominidae
Exons: 2
Source: RefSeq, a predicted model, not a curated record
UGACAAAGGGCAUGCACAAAAAGUUUACUCUGAUAUGCCUUAAAAAUCUGUAGACAAGAGAGGGCCAAGAUAAGUUUAGCCUGUUUACCACAUGCUGGAAUUCAGCUCAUUUCACAUCUAUCUUCUAUUGCUGUAAAUGUAUAUAGUGUGCACUCCAUGAAAACUGACACCAAUGUUGGCAAAAUACAACAAAGCUUCCUAACACAUCAAAUGGAUUUUUAAAAAUCUGAGCUCCAAGAACACAUAUCUUGGAGCACUGAGCUCCUGCAAGCAAUCAGCUGGUUUUAAUUUCUCUCCCGCAGCUGCUAAAAUGCUGGUUUCAACCUGUAAAGAUUUCUGGGCCCCACCAGUCAGCACGUCUCACGGUCUUCACAGCCCCAGAUUCCGGGAGACAAUGCAUCUAAAACGAACAGCGGCUGGGAACGGUGGAGGAUACCUUCACGAUAGUUGCUUCCAGAGAAAGGCAUGCAAGUCUAAUUUUAAUGGAAAAAGAAUAGGCUCUAAAGCAGGGCUGGCUGCAUCACACCUGAUCUGUCUAGAGCGCUCUUAUUUCAGUCCCAGAGAGGAAGCGCCCAGCCCCGGACUACAGAGCUGUGAAUGAACCCACGCAGGGCGAGUGGAGAAUUUAUUCCAGGGGUUAGCUGGUGAUUAGGACACCGUGCAAGGGGUGGGGCUUGCUAUGCCUAGAGCAGCCCGCUUGAGCUCAGCUCCCUAGCUAGCACCUUUACAAAGGAUGGAGAGACGGAAUCCGCAAACGCUAUCCCUUUGAAUAAAGGCAGCCUUGUUAGGGAAAGGAAAGACUGUCAGUCCCCCCACUGGCUUCUUUCCCUUGGGGAUAUUUGUUCUGCCCUCUUUGUAUUGUUCAUUUCUCCUGCCAUGUUGACCUGGAUAUGGGAUGUAGCAUCUAUUAAAGAUUCUUAUUUGAAUUUGAA